This 116-nucleotide ribosomal RNA is filed under the name Apis mellifera (honey bee). The record is from RNAcentral. Lineage: Eukaryota; Metazoa; Arthropoda; Insecta; Hymenoptera; Apidae.
GCCAACGACCAUACCAUAUAGGAAUUACUGAUUCUUGUUCGAUCACCAAAAUCAAGUUAUGUCAGGCACGAUUAAUAUUUGGAUGAAUGCCACUUGGGAACACUGUGUUGAUUUUU